This 492-nucleotide ribosomal RNA is filed under the name uncultured bacterium. Its description in RNAcentral is "partial 16S ribosomal RNA". It matches the Rfam family "Bacterial small subunit ribosomal RNA", at positions 28 to 507 of the family's 1533-position model. The record is from RNAcentral.
GAUGAACGCUAGCUACAGGCUUAACACAUGCAAGUCGAGGGGAAACGACAUCGAAAGCUUGCUUUUGAUGGGCGUCGACCGGCGCACGGGUGAGUAACGCGUAUCCAACCUGCCCAUCACUUGGGAAUAACCUUGCGAAAGUAAGACUAAUACCCAAUGAUAUCCCACGAAGGCAUCGGAAUGGGAUUAAAGAUUUAUCGGUGAUGGAUGGGGAUGCGUCUGAUUAGCUUGUUGGCGGGGUAACGGCCCACCAAGGCAACGAUCAGUAGGGGUUCUGAGAGGAAGGUCCCCCACAUUGGAACUGAGACACGGUCCAAACUCCUACGGGAGGCAGCAGUGAGGAAUAGUGGUCAAUGGGCGAGAGCCUGAACCAGCCAAGUAGCGUGCAGGAAGACGGCCCUAUGGGUUGUAAACUGCUUUUAUAAGGGAAUAAAGUGGGUCACGUGUGACUUUUUGCAUGUACCUUAUGAAUAAGGACCGGCUAAGUCCGUG